GUAGGUGAACCUGCGGAAGGAUCAUUCAUAAUAAGUGUUUUAUGGCACUUUUUAAAUCCAUAUCCACCUUGUGUGCAAUGUCGGUCGAUCUUCUUCAUGGAGAUUGACCAAACAUCAACCUUUAUCUUUUAACUCUUUGUCUGAAAAAUAUUAUGAAUAGACAAUUCAAAAUACAACUUUUAACAACGGAUCCCUUGGUUCUG
RNAcentral lists this unclassified non-coding RNA (203 nucleotides) under rhizosphere metagenome. RNAcentral's name for it is "partial ribosomal RNA internal transcribed spacer region". The record is from RNAcentral.